UACGUAGGUGGCAAGCGUUGUCCGGAUUUACUGGGUGUAAAGGGCGUGUAGCCGGGUUGACAAGUCAGAUGUGAAAUCCUGCGGCUUAACCGCAGAACUGCAUUUGAAACUGUUGAUCUUGAGUACUGGAGAGGCAGACGGAAUUCCUAGUGUAGCGGUGAAAUGCGUAGAUAUUAGGAGGAACACCAGUGGCGAAGGCGGCCUGCUGGACAUUAACUGACGCUGAGGCGCGAAAGCGUGGGGAGCAAACAGG
This 253-nucleotide ribosomal RNA is filed under the name uncultured bacterium. RNAcentral describes it as "partial 16S ribosomal RNA". It matches the Rfam family "Bacterial small subunit ribosomal RNA", at positions 524 to 776 of the family's 1533-position model. The record is from RNAcentral.